RNAcentral lists this long non-coding RNA (1210 nucleotides) under Vigna radiata. RNAcentral describes it as "long non-coding RNA (VRAD_LNC003642)". The record is from RNAcentral. Lineage: Eukaryota; Viridiplantae; Streptophyta; Magnoliopsida; Fabales; Fabaceae.
UCAUCUUCAUGCUUUUCUUCUUUUCUUUUCUUUUUCUCAUGAAUUUUUCUCUUUUCACAACAAUUGAGCUCAAUGCCGUUUACUUGCUUUUUCAAUUUUCCCCCGUACAACCCCAAACUUGAACCUUUUCAUCACAUACAAAUAAGCUCAUCCCAACUCAAGGUAAAGAAUUUCAAGACAAGGGUUCACAUCCUAUUUAAGGCUAAGGUUCAAAAAGGGUAAAAUAUUUCAAGCACUUUGGGUGAAAAUUUGGCUAGAGAAGGGUUUUCAAAAAUGGCCUUGAUCAUAUGACAUUCACAUGCAAUUCAAUCGAUCAUCAAGAUUAAGGCAAUAUCAUCCAUGUUUUCCUAUGAACAAUGCAUACAACAAUAAAAACUCUGGAGCUCAAAAUCUCACACACAUGCUUCCUCACACAAAAUUCAUUCAUACACCAUGCCUAGCAUCAUGAGCACAAUCAUAAAUUCAUCACCCAUCUAUUUCGUGGAUAUCAUCAUGCAUUGCAACUCAAUUCUCAUCCGCAUUAAAUAAUCAUCAAAUAGAUCCAUCAUGCAAAUUAGUUUAGCCAAACAUUUUCAGAACAAGUAAUAAAGCCAAGAAUACACACCAAAAAUAAAAAUUCAACCUAUUUUAAGAAUUUAAAAUGCAAAAGUGUAAGAAGAAAUCUAGGUUGCCUCCUAGUAGCGCUUGUUUAACGUCACGAGGCUGACCCAAACCUGGUUGGCACUUGUCAGUAAGUGCACUUCCUUCCACCACUCAUCAGUAGGUGUACCUUCCUGGUAUCCUUCAAUAGAUACCUAUAUCUUCUAACAUCCCCAGUAGAUGCUAUCCCAAUAGCACUCAUCAGUAAAUGCUAAUCUUUCUAAUCUUCAUUGGCAUCCAUCAGUAAAUGCCAUAUCACCUAACAUCCAUCAGUAGAUGUUGUAGAAGCAUCCAUCAGUAGAUGCAAUCAUCACUGCCAUCAAAAGCAACGCAUAACCCAAAAUAAAUAGAAUAAAAUAAAAUAAAAUAAAACCAAAUCAAAUAAAAAAAAUUAAAAAUAAAAUAAAAUAAAAUAAAAUAAAAUAAAAAUAAAAAUAAAAUCAAUAAAAUAAAAUAAAAUAAAAUCAAAAUCAAAUUGAAGACAAAAACUUUCAGAAACUGGGUUGCCUCCCAACAGGCGCUCUUUUAACGUCAUUAGCUUGACCCGGUAAAGCCCAAAAUUUUAUCCUGC